CCCAGGUCUGAGUGACUUUGAGAGUGGCUCACUCUCCAGGCACCCUCCCUGGACAGGGGACCAUAGGCUCAAGAUGGCCUGGUGGAUGCCGCCGGCACGCGCCUCUCCUCUGGCGGGAACCGAAGGCGCCGGUAGGUUUUCACACUUGCAGCCGAUCGGCUAAGAGAACGCGGGAUUCAGCCGAGAAGCCACUGGGAGCCCGAGGAGCGGAGCAGAGGCACCCAGGCAGCCUGCGCGGAGAAAUCGGAUCGGCUAGGACGGCCUGCAGCCCCUGCGCGCGGGGAAAGGGAAGAAGUCCUCCCCUACAAAGCGAGUUCACAAACUUGGAAGAAGCCACUUUCACAGGAUGCACAGAUCUCAACGGAAGGACACAGAAAACAUGAAAAAGCAAGGAAAUGGGGCGCCUCCAACGGAACCCAGUAAUUCUCCAGCAGCAGAUCCCCAUCCAAAAGAAACAGAAGACAUUUUGGAGAGAGAAUUGAAUAUACAUAUUAUACAGUUGUGGGCAUAAUACAAGCAUCAUUUGGAAAAGAACAGAGAAAAAAGAUGGAAGGAGUUACCGUACUGCAGGAAAAAAUUAUCAACUCCAGUGAUAUUAUUAAAUACAACCUAACGACACUUCUGAAGCUGAAGAAAUCACUGGAUGAAAUACAAAGUAAACUCAAAAGCUUCAGUGAUAGACUAGAACAAGAAGAAGAAAGACUCUCAAAACUUGAAAUCUGAAGCAUGUUUCUUAAAGAUUUAAAGGGUUAUUAUACUCUGGCCAUUAAUGUGAACGAAAUCUGCUGGGUUAAUUCUUAUACUGGGGUCUUGGAUAAUCAUUAAAGUGAAAUGAGAAUAAUUUCUUUUUGAGAUGAUCAAUUUUAUGAGGUCGAUUUUUUUUUUUUUUUUUUAAUGAGACUGAGUCUUGCUCUGUCGCCCAGGCUGGAGUGCAGUGGCAUGAUUUCGGUUCACUGCAACCUCCGUCUCCCAGGUUCAAGAGAUUCUCCUGCCUUAGCCUCCAGAGUAGCUGGGACUACAGGCGUGUACCACCA
RNAcentral lists this long non-coding RNA (1034 nucleotides) under Homo sapiens (human). RNAcentral's name for it is "HSALNT0126555". The record is from RNAcentral. Lineage: Eukaryota; Metazoa; Chordata; Mammalia; Primates; Hominidae.